AUACGUAGGUGGCAAGCGUUGUCCGGAAUUAUUGGACGUAAAGCGCGCGCAGGUGGUUCCUUAAGUCUGAUGUGAAAGCCCCCGGCUCAACCGGGGAGGGUCAUUGGAAACUGGGGAACUUGAGUGCAGAAGAGGAUAGUGGAAUUCCAAGUGUAGCGGUGAAAUGCGUAGAGAUUUGGAGGAACACCAGUGGCGAAGGCGACUGUCUGGUCUGUAACGGACACUGAGGCGCGAAAGCGUGGGGAGAGAACAGGAUUAGAUACCCGGGUAGUCCACGCCGUAAACGAUGAGUGCUAAGUGUUGGGGGGUUUCCGCCCCUCAGUGCUGCAGCUAACGCAUUAAGCACUCCGCCUGGGGAGUACGGUCGCAAGACUGAAACUCAAAUGAAUUGACGGGG
RNAcentral lists this ribosomal RNA (397 nucleotides) under uncultured bacterium. Its description in RNAcentral is "partial 16S ribosomal RNA". It matches the Rfam family "Bacterial small subunit ribosomal RNA", at positions 523 to 918 of the family's 1533-position model. The record is from RNAcentral.